Molecule: long non-coding RNA, 784 nt
Organism: Xenopus tropicalis (tropical clawed frog)
Lineage: Eukaryota; Metazoa; Chordata; Amphibia; Anura; Pipidae
Exons: 2
Source: RefSeq, a predicted model, not a curated record
AAUAAAAACAAACUUCUAAUAUUUAACAUUUAGCUCAGAAAUAAACAGCUCCACAUCCCAACCAGCCCUACCUGCGUAGCCUCCUCCGCCCAGCCUCGUUUCUCAUCGCUGUGUUUUUAUGGAGAGCUAUGGAGCGUGAAAGCAAUAUGCAAUGAAACGUUCCCGGGUUUGAAAAUAAAUAUUAACACUGUGAAAUGCAUCUUACUAUAUCUUUUUUCGGCUCCAACGCCGAGGAAGAAAGUUUUUGCAUUGGCGGCUAUCUCAUCACUGAAUCGUUUAAGAGAGCAAUUAGAGAGUCGGCAUUCUGAGCACCUGCUUUAAUUAUUACUCCCAGUCUCUCAAGUCUUCAUUAACCGAGCGAGGCGGCCAUGAUUGUCAUCUGAAAGGGACUUACGGGCACCUUUUGCACAGCAAUUACAAGGCUGUUUUUUCUACUCUAACUGCUCGCGGGCUGGAUGCAUCCUUGGAGAGAAGCAAAGGGAAAUCAUUUUGUUUUAGUUAGCAGCAAAAUAGAAUGCAAAAUGAUUGAUGCGUGAACCAUGGAUCCCAGGCGUUUCACCAAGGAUUUGUGCUUGUCAGUAAAGAAGAAGAAAAAAAACAAAAGAUGUCAAAGCAUUUUUAGCUUCUGUUGUAUUUUCUUUAAAGCGCGCCAUGCUUGCCGAGCACUCCUAUUCCCAGCGCACAGCAGACUGGAUUAGAAGCAGAUGGCGUGUCUUGUAAAGUCGUUCUUGAUAUGUUUGAUAGCAACUUCCUUACAGGCAGUAAAAUAAAGCUCUUAUUUCCA